Molecule: transfer RNA, 84 nt
Filed under: Felis catus (domestic cat)
Lineage: Eukaryota; Metazoa; Chordata; Mammalia; Carnivora; Felidae
Rfam family: tRNA
About the family: Transfer RNA (tRNA) molecules are approximately 80 nucleotides in length. Their secondary structure includes four short double-helical elements and three loops (D, anti-codon, and T loops).
Source: Rfam by way of RNAcentral
ACCCAGGUGGCUCAGUCAGUUAAGCAUCUGACUUCAGCUCAGGUCAUGAUCUCAUGGUCCAUGGGUUCGAACCCCACGUGGGUU